Non-coding RNA from Pseudonaja textilis, 268 nucleotides. NCBI's taxonomy places the organism in Eukaryota, Metazoa, Chordata, Lepidosauria, Squamata, Elapidae. The record is from RefSeq and is a predicted model, not a curated record.
CAGGGGGUUGGACUAGAAGACCUCCAAGGUCCCUUCCAACUCUGGUAUUCUGUUCUAAGUUAGUGGUGUUCUGACCCAACUGGGUUCCCAAAGAACAAACACAGAUAAAGGCAGCAGCCCCCACCUAAAAGGUUUAAUAACAAAUUAUGUUCUGAAGACUGCUUUGCACUAAUUAGCUCCGACAAGAAAGAGCCUUGCCAAGUUGUUUGUCAAGGCUGUCAAAAACCCAGAGAUAAGAACUAAUUUACAAAAUUCUCCAAUCAUGAAC